Molecule: long non-coding RNA, 490 nt
Organism: Mesocricetus auratus (golden hamster)
Lineage: Eukaryota; Metazoa; Chordata; Mammalia; Rodentia; Cricetidae
Exons: 3
Source: RefSeq, a predicted model, not a curated record
UGCUUCGACGUCUCUGAGUGGACUCGUGAGCCAGAUCAGCCGACUUCGUUCAGUGUUCUAGCACAGCAACAGGAACCUAACUCAAACCCUUGGUUGCCUAGGGAGCUGGAGAUCAUCCUGAACUACACGAUGAAGAUUGUCUCACACAAGAACAGAGUGGGAAGCCAUCCAUACGGCUGGGCAGGUUAAAGCGCGUGUCCCGUGCACAUUAACAGCUCUUGCAAGGGAUCCUCACUCAACUGCCUGGAACCCCACCUCCAGGGGGGUCCAGCACAGGAUCCCUCAGCGGUGGUGCCGGUGGCCAGAGUCCUGCACCAGUUGUCAGAGAAUAAGUAGAGAUGCUCAGAUUGCAAAGGAGUGGGGAACACUUCCUCAAAGGAAAUCGGGAGAGCAGACCAGAAACACACUUCGAAGACUGACGACCCUGCCUCUAGGUCCCUGCCCCAAGUUCCUGCUCUGACUUCCCUCACGAUGGACUUUAAGUUGUAAG